This 489-nucleotide ribosomal RNA is filed under the name Veillonella parvula. RNAcentral's name for it is "bacterial SSU rRNA". It matches the Rfam family "Bacterial small subunit ribosomal RNA", at positions 28 to 487 of the family's 1533-position model. The record is from RNAcentral. Lineage: Bacteria; Bacillati; Bacillota; Negativicutes; Veillonellales; Veillonellaceae.
GACGAACGCUGGCGGCGUGCUUAACACAUGCAAGUCGAACGAAGAGCGAUGGAAGCUUGCUUCUAUCAAUCUUAGUGGCGAACGGGUGAGUAACGCGUAAUCAACCUGCCCUUCAGAGGGGGACAACAGUUGGAAACGACUGCUAAUACCGCAUACGAUCUAAUCUCGGCAUCGAGGAUAGAUGAAAGGUGGCCUCUACAUGUAAGCUAUCACUGAAGGAGGGGAUUGCGUCUGAUUAGCUAGUUGGAGGGGUAACGGCCCACCAAGGCGAUGAUCAGUAGCCGGUCUGAGAGGAUGAACGGCCACAUUGGGACUGAGACACGGCCCAGACUCCUACGGGAGGCAGCAGUGGGGAAUCUUCCGCAAUGGACGAAAGUCUGACGGAGCAACGCCGCGUGAGUGAUGACGGCCUUCGGGUUGUAAAGCUCUGUUAAUCGGGACGAAAGGCCUUCUUGCGAAUAGUGAGAAGGAUGACGGUACCGGAUAGAA